RNAcentral lists this ribosomal RNA (497 nucleotides) under uncultured bacterium. Its description in RNAcentral is "partial 16S ribosomal RNA". It matches the Rfam family "Bacterial small subunit ribosomal RNA", at positions 28 to 507 of the family's 1533-position model. The record is from RNAcentral.
GAUGAACGCUGGCGGCGUGCCUAAUACAUGCAAGUCGAGCGAACAGACUAGUAUCUUUCUCCUCUUACUUUAUCUGCGUACGUGUGAUUAACACUUGGAUAACCUACCUAUAAGACUGGUAUAACUUCGUGAAACCGGAGCUAAUACCGGAUAAUAUAUUGAACCGCAUGGUUCAAUAGUUAAAUACGGUUUUGCUGUCCCUUAUAGAUGGAUCCGCGCCGCAUUAGCUAUUUGGUAAGGUAACGGCUUACCAAGGCAACGAUGCGUAGCCGACCUGAGAGGGUGAUCGGAGAAAAUGGAAAUGAGAAACGGUACAGACUCAGACGGGAGGCAGAAGUAGGGAAUCUGCCGCAAUGGGCGAAAGCCUGACGGAGCAACGCCGCGUGAGUGAUGAAGGUCUUCGGAUCGUAAAACUCUGUUAGUAGGGAAGAACAAAUGUGUAAGUAACUAUGCACGUCUUGACGGUACCUAAUCAGAAAGCCACGGCUAACUACGUG